UGAAUCUCAUCGUUCCCAGUGGGAUAAUACAGUAGUAGACGAGCAAAAAUCAUGGCGAGGCGUUGCAUGUCGUUUUCUCGGACACUUCUCUCCAGCAGUAGGCCAUCAACAGUAAGUUCCUCACCAAGUGUACAAUCCCUUCUCGGCCAGCGCCUUCAGUCUCGCCGUUCUCUUUCCACCAUUCUCACCAGGACUAACGGAGUUCUGGGAUGCGCCCAAUCGCUCUUACCGCUUCACAGCGCUGUGGCAGCCACCCGUCUGACAUCACACAUUCAAAUGGACGCGCGCACUUGUUGCCAGUUGUCUCAGGGUACCUUUUUCUGUCGCACUUGCCCUGAUCGGUAGUUUUCAAUUGUACUUAAGGAUGCAUUACGUAUUAGCUGGAAAACCUGCUGUACCAAACAUUUUGGAGAAUUUUCUGUGAACUUUUCCCUGGAACUACAAAACUGUAAGCUCUAAAUUCAAUUUGAUUUCCUAGUAAUUUUUGGGUUGAUGUUGGAAAUUUCAGAAUUCUUGAAAACCCUGAAAAUGAUAAUUCUAUAGGAGAAACUUAUAGCAGUCCUUACAGUUUUAUGUUGAUAGAGAUCAUCUCUUCAUUUGAAGUAUUUAAAUUUUUUGAUUGGCUAUCACUAGGUGAUUGCUAAUGUUCUACUUUACCAAAUAAACCAAAUUUACAUCUUUCUGAUUUUCUAA
Molecule: RNA transcript, 693 nt
Organism: Solanum pennellii
Lineage: Eukaryota; Viridiplantae; Streptophyta; Magnoliopsida; Solanales; Solanaceae
Exons: 3
Source: RefSeq, a predicted model, not a curated record